UUGAUCCUGCCGGACCCGACUGCUAUCAGAGUGAGAUUAAGCCAUGCGAGUCAACGUAGCAAUACGUGGCAUACGGCUCAGUAACACGUAGUCAACAUAACCAAAGGACGUGGAUAAACUCGGGAAACUGAGGAUAAACCGCGAUAGAUCAAGAUACCUGGAAUGGUUAAUGAUCAAAAUCUAUAUGGCCUUUGGAUUGGACUGCGUCCGAUCAGGCUGUUGGUGAGGUAAUGGCCCACCAAACCUGUAACCGGUACGGGCUCUGAGAGGAGGAGCCCGGAGAUGGGUACUGAGAUAAGGACCCAGGCCCUAUGGGGCGCAGCAGGCGCGAAACCUCUGCAAUAGGCGAAAGCUUGACAGGGUUACUCUGAGUGACUUUCGUUAAGAAAGUCUUUUGACACCUCUAAAAAUGGUGUAGAAUAAGGGGUGGGCAAGUCUGGUGUCAGCCGCCGCGGUAAUACCAGCACCCCGAGUGGUCGGGACGAUUAUUGGGCCUAAAGCAUCCGUAGCCGGCCUUACAAGUCCUCCGUUAAAUCCAGCUGCUUAACAGAUGGGCUGCGGAGGAUACUAUAAGACUAGGAGGCAGGAGAGGCAAGCGGUACUCAGUGGGUAGGGGUAAAAUCCGUUGAUCCAUUGAAGACCACCAGUGGCGAAGGCGGCUUGCCAGAAUGCGCUCGACGGUGAGGGAUGAAAGCUGGGGGAGCAAACCGGAUUAGAUACCCGGGUAGUCCCAGCCGUAAACGAUGCAGACUCGGUGAUGGACUAGCUUUAUGCUGGUCCAGUGCCGCAGGGAAGCCGUUAAGUCUGCCGCCUGGGUAGUACGGUCGCAAGACUGAAACUAAAGGAAUUGGCGGGGGAGCACCUC
Molecule: ribosomal RNA, 865 nt
Filed under: uncultured archaeon
Lineage: Archaea
Description: bacterial SSU rRNA
Rfam family: Archaeal small subunit ribosomal RNA
Source: RNAcentral